Rhincodon typus (whale shark) is the source of this 263-nucleotide long non-coding RNA. RefSeq lists it as uncharacterized. NCBI's taxonomy places the organism in Eukaryota, Metazoa, Chordata, Chondrichthyes, Orectolobiformes, Rhincodontidae. The transcript has 3 exons. The record is from RefSeq and is a predicted model, not a curated record.
CACGGCAUUCCUUAUCACUGCGCAGGCUCAGUAUGUUCCCGCGGGCCCACAGUCUUGAGCAUGCGCAGGGAGCGAUCCUGGGAAGCAGUCGCUCUUUUCAUCGGCUUUAAAAAAGCAUGUUAGAAGAGGAUUUACAGAGUGCAAACUCAAACCGCAUAACAUACCAAGAUCUGAAUGUGCCACUCAGCACUGGAUAUUAUUGGCCUUUCAAUGACAACCAGAAUUGGACACAGUCCUGCAGAAGAGGCCUCACCAAUGGCCUG